UACAGAGGGUGCGAGCGUUACUCGGACUUACUGGGCGUAAAGCGCGCGUAGGCGGCUUUGCAAGUCGGGUGUGAAAUCCCCAGGCUCAACCUGGGAACUGCAUUCGAGACUGCAUUGCUAGAGUAUGGGAGAGGGAAGUGGAAUUUCAGGUGUAGCGGUGAAAUGCGUAGAUAUCUGAAGGAACAUCAGUGGCGAAAGCGACUUCCUGGACCAAUACUGACGCUCAUGUGCGAAAGCGUGGGGAGCGAACAGG
RNAcentral lists this ribosomal RNA (253 nucleotides) under uncultured bacterium. RNAcentral describes it as "partial 16S ribosomal RNA". It matches the Rfam family "Bacterial small subunit ribosomal RNA", at positions 524 to 776 of the family's 1533-position model. The record is from RNAcentral.